Molecule: long non-coding RNA, 223 nt
Filed under: Homo sapiens (human)
Lineage: Eukaryota; Metazoa; Chordata; Mammalia; Primates; Hominidae
Description: HSALNT0158780
Source: RNAcentral
UGUCAACACCAUCUGCUCCACAAAGGAAAGUUGCUGAUUAUUGCAUCUCUAAGUGGAGUCGGUUCUCUCCCACGAUAGCAGAAGGCUUUCACAUUCACUAUACUGUUAUGGACAUGGAGGAUGGGAACCAUUGCUUUGUUUACUCUGCAACUGAGCCAGGCUGGUGUGCAGUGUCUAGGCAAUGGGCUUACAAAAGAAAACUACCUGCCUCCUGAGUCUUCUG